This 250-nucleotide ribosomal RNA is filed under the name uncultured prokaryote. Its description in RNAcentral is "partial 16S ribosomal RNA". It matches the Rfam family "Bacterial small subunit ribosomal RNA", at positions 524 to 773 of the family's 1533-position model. The record is from RNAcentral.
UACGUAGGGGGCGAGCGUUGUCCGGAUUUAUUGGGUGUAAAGGGUGCGUAGACGGAUAGUUAAGUUGGUUGUGAAAUCCCCAGGCUCAACUUGGGAACUGCAACCAAAACUGACAAUCUUGAGUAUAGGAGAGGAAAGUGGAAUUCCUAGUGUAGCGGUGAAAUGCGUAGAGAUUAGGAGGAACACCAGUGGCGAAGGCGACUUUCUGGACUAAAACUGACGUUGAGGCACGAAAGUGUGGGGAGCAAAC